UACGUAGGGUGCAAGCGUUGUCCGGAAUUAUUGGGCCUAAAGCGUCCGUAGCUGGCUUGUUAGAUGCCUGGUUAAAUCGAUGCGCUCAACGCAUCGAACUCCGGGUAGACCGGCAAGCUUGGGACCGGGAGAGGCGUGAGCUACUCGAGGGGUAGGGGUAAAAUCCUGUAAUCCUUCGGGGAGGACCAGUGGCGAAGGCGUCACGCUAGAACGGCUCCGACAGUGAGGGACGAAGCCCUGGGGCGCAAACCGG
Molecule: ribosomal RNA, 253 nt
Filed under: uncultured bacterium
Lineage: Bacteria
Description: partial 16S ribosomal RNA
Rfam family: Archaeal small subunit ribosomal RNA
Source: RNAcentral